GCCCCGGUAGCUCAACUGCAUAGAGCAGCCGCCUUCUAAGCGGCAGGUUGAGGGUUCGAGUCCCGCCCGGGGCG
Molecule: transfer RNA, 74 nt
Filed under: Planctomycetota bacterium
Lineage: Bacteria; Pseudomonadati; Planctomycetota
Description: Planctomycetes bacterium tRNA-Arg
Rfam family: tRNA
About the family: Transfer RNA (tRNA) molecules are approximately 80 nucleotides in length.
Source: RNAcentral